Molecule: ribosomal RNA, 273 nt
Filed under: uncultured bacterium
Lineage: Bacteria
Description: partial 16S ribosomal RNA
Rfam family: Bacterial small subunit ribosomal RNA
Source: RNAcentral
UACAGAGGGUGCAAGCGUUGUUCGGAAUUAUUGGGCGUAAAGCGCGUGUAGGCGGCUUGGCAAGUCGGGUGUGAAAUCCCUCAGCUCAACUGAGGAAGUGCGCCCGAAACUGCUUUGCUUGAGUGCCGGAGAGGAUGGCGGAAUUCCCCAAGUAGAGGUGAAAUUCGUAGAUAUGGGGAGGAACACCGGUGGCGAAGGCGGCCAUCUGGACGGUUACUGACGCUGAGACGCGAAAGCGUGGGGAGCAAACAGGAUUAGAAACCCCAGUAGUCC